This 468-nucleotide ribosomal RNA is filed under the name uncultured bacterium. RNAcentral describes it as "partial 16S ribosomal RNA". It matches the Rfam family "Bacterial small subunit ribosomal RNA", at positions 28 to 507 of the family's 1533-position model. The record is from RNAcentral.
GACGAACGCUGGCGGCGUGCUUAACACAUGCAAGUCGAGCGGAAAGGCCCUGCUUUUGUGGGGUGCUCGAGUGGCGAACGGGUGAGUAACACGUGAGUAACCUGCCCUUGACUUUGGGAUAACUUCAGGAAACUGGGGCUAAUACCGGAUAGGAGCUCCUGCUGCAUGGUGGGGGUUGGAAAGUUUCGGCGGUUGGGGAUGGACUCGCGGCUUAUCAGCUUGUUGGUGGGGUAGUGGCUUACCAAGGCUUUGACGGGUAGCCGGCCUGAGAGGGUGACCGGCCACAUUGGGACUGAGGUACGGCCCAGACUCCUACGGGAGGCAGCAGUGGGAAAUAGUGCACAAUAGGCGGAAGCCUGAUGCAGCAACGCCGCGUGCGGGAUGACGGCCUUCGGGUUGUAAACCGCUUUCGCCUGUGACGAAGCGUGAGUGACGGUAAUGGGUAAAGAAGCACCGGCUAACUACGUG